GCAAGCGUGGUGUAGUGGUUGAAGCAUUGGACUAGGACUCUGGAGACCAGGGUUCAAUUCCCGGCUCAGCCA
Molecule: non-coding RNA, 72 nt
Organism: Phrynosoma platyrhinos (Desert horned lizard)
Lineage: Eukaryota; Metazoa; Chordata; Lepidosauria; Squamata; Phrynosomatidae
Source: the annotation of a GenBank genome assembly